CACGUAGGGCGCAAGCGUUGUCCGGAAUUAUUGGGCGUAAAGAGCUCGUAGGCGGUCUGUUACGUCUGCUGUGAAAACCCAGGGCUUAACCCUGGGCUUGCAGUGGAUACGGGCAGACUAGAGGCAGGUAGGGGAGAAUGGAAUUCCUGGUGUAGCGGUGAAAUGCGCAGAUAUCAGGAGGAACACCGGUGGCGAAGGCGGAUCUCUGGGCCAUUACUGACGCUGAGGAGCGAAAGCGUGGGGAGCGAACAGG
This 253-nucleotide ribosomal RNA is filed under the name uncultured bacterium. Its description in RNAcentral is "partial 16S ribosomal RNA". It matches the Rfam family "Bacterial small subunit ribosomal RNA", at positions 524 to 776 of the family's 1533-position model. The record is from RNAcentral.